AAAUUUCCCAACAGGAUGGUAACACCUCAGGAUCCUCCAGGAAUGAGUUAGUGGACUUGGCCAAGGACAGGAAGUGUUUGUGCAGCUGCUGUCUUUCAUCACAACCCAGAUGUGGAUAAAUGGCUUCACAAAACAUCACUGCUGCAAGAUGCAACAAUGAGAAGUGUCGAUUAGGCUCAACCGUCAUGAGGUCAGUUGGAAAACAGCUCCCCUCACCCAGUACUAAAUACCUUCGGAUUUAGUAAAUGACAAAUGUGGGUCAUCAGGAAAAGUUUUAACAAAUAAACUUCAUGCAUUAUAUCUUCUUAAAUAUGCAUCUUGUGUCUAAACUACUGGUGUGGAUUUUACUGACGUUUUUCCAUGGUAGAAAACAAAAGUGAGCUCUGACAAGGAAAAAUCUCAAAUAUCUUGUAUUUGCUAACAUAACUGACAUGUCGAAAAAGAAAGCUCAAUCAUUCUUUGCAGUUAACCUGACACCAUCCCAUCUACCCCCCCCACACUACUCCCUACUGAACCAAUGAUUAACCCCAACACCCCAUUUAACCUGGAUUGGAUUUACUAAAUUACAGUAACACUUCCAGUUGCCCUUUACUUCACUGAGACAGUGGAGUAAAGGGCUAAAAUUAAAGACACCGUGGUUACAUAAAUUCAAGCCAUUGUUUCAUUUUAAACACACCUACCAUUUAUUUAUUUUAGCUAAACCAGGAUUGCCUUACACAAUAUGACCUGCAGAACACGUCUGCCACGACACAACCGGCAGGUGCCGUCAGUGAAAGACUUUUCAGACAGUCCAACUUCUCCCUCAAAAUAAAAUGAAAACUAUGGUAGCUGGCGCCCACAAGGGCGGCCGUGAAUGUCGGACGACAACUCGUAAAGACACGGGGGGGGGGGGGGAGAUAUGACACUAAGGAAACAAGUGGUAAAAACAGGCUUUAAAUAAAAUAAGUAAAACUAUCAAAAAAUUGCAGAUCAAUGAAACAGAGAUUAGCAAGAUUUUUUUUAAACCCACAUGCCAUAUUUAAUAAUAAUAAAAAAAAGUCAAUUUUAACUACAAUUUGUUGCACUUUGAUGACAUUAAUAGCAAACAAAAACAAAAGGUUAAAACUAAAGAAGUGGAGGCAGUUUUCCCGUUCUAAGAUACGAGUCACAGGGUAACUGGAAACAGUAAUUCUACUUCUACACACAAACGCCACGAAGCUUCACCCGGUGUUGCCCACAACAAAACGCCAACAUCUGAGGUAAAUGAAGGACAACCAUCAUCAGUUUCCAAAAAACAUCGCAGCUGAGGGUUUGUGAAGCUGCAGACUCGAAACCUCUGGGCCGGACCAGCCAACGUGUUACUGUACCUACAGGAAGUUUGUAUGGCAAAAAUAUGUAGCCUACUGCCUCCUACUGCUUUAUGACCGUUGAACCACAUUUCCAGAACACAGCUCACUGAUGUACAUAUUUAUCUUUAAUAAGACUUGGCCCACAACCCCCCCCCAUCACCUCCCAUAUUUUAGAUACUUGGAAAUACCAUGCAGCUACACAUUUAUUUACCCACUGACUGGGACGUGUGGACUACAUUUAUGUAAAACAUGUUCCAAAAAUUUUUUUAUUGUUUCAGUGAUGUGUAUUUCUUCCCACCUUUAUUCAUGACUGAGAAAAUGCUCAACUAUACUUGAUUUGAAAGUCCAGCACUUUUCUCCCCACACAGAUACUUGAAUCAGUGCAGGAUACCAGAAAAGUGUAAACU
This is a long non-coding RNA of Thalassophryne amazonica, 1735 nucleotides long. RefSeq lists it as uncharacterized. Lineage: Eukaryota; Metazoa; Chordata; Actinopteri; Batrachoidiformes; Batrachoididae. The transcript has 2 exons. The record is from RefSeq and is a predicted model, not a curated record.